AACCCGUAGUUUCGAACAUGUG
RNAcentral lists this microRNA (22 nucleotides) under Brugia malayi. Its description in RNAcentral is "bma-miR-100a". Its record names the gene bma-miR-100a. The record is from miRBase by way of RNAcentral. Lineage: Eukaryota; Metazoa; Nematoda; Chromadorea; Rhabditida; Onchocercidae.